RNAcentral lists this ribosomal RNA (501 nucleotides) under uncultured bacterium. RNAcentral describes it as "partial 16S ribosomal RNA". It matches the Rfam family "Bacterial small subunit ribosomal RNA", at positions 29 to 523 of the family's 1533-position model. The record is from RNAcentral.
AUUGAACGCUGGCGGCACGCCUAACACAUGCAAGUCGAGCGGCAGCGCGAUAUGUAGCAAUACAUAUUGGCGGCGAGCGGCGGACGGGUGAGGAACACGUAGGAACCUACCCUCGAGUGGGGGAUAACCAAGGGAAACUUUGGCUAAUACCGCAUGAACUCUAGAGCGCAAAGCUGCCGCAAGGUGGCGCUCGAGGAGGGGCCGGCGUCCGAUUAGCUAGUUGGUGAGGUAAGAGCUCACCAAGGCGAUGAUCGGUAACUGGUCUGAGAGGACGACCAGUCACACUGGGACUGAGACACGGCCCAGACUCCUACGGGAGGCAGCAGUGGGGAAUAUUGGACAAUGGGGGCAACCCUGAUCCAGCGAUGCCGCGUGAGUGAAGAAGGCCUUCGGGUCGUAAAGCUCUUUAGGUUGGGAAGAAGGGUGAUGGAGGAAAUGCUAUCACUUUGACGGUACCGACAGAAUAAGCACCGGCAAACUCUGUGCCAGCCGCCGCAGUAA